This is a long non-coding RNA of Apis florea (little honeybee), 421 nucleotides long. The record is from RefSeq and is a predicted model, not a curated record. NCBI's taxonomy places the organism in Eukaryota, Metazoa, Arthropoda, Insecta, Hymenoptera, Apidae.
UUUCAUGCUCAAAUAUCAGUACAAAAAAAUUCAUCUAAGAAAUCAAUUAUGCUUGAAUUUUAUCGAAAAAUACAAACUGAUUCUGCUAUGCAUAAAUCCCAAAAAAGUAUAAAUAAUAAUUUUAAGAAAUCUGUUAAUGUUGAUAUCAAACAAAAUAAAUCUUCAUCUUAAUAAUAUAAAAAUAAGGAUCGUAUCGCUUUUGAUAUCCAUGUACUUGAACGCUUGUUAACUGUCCUUCUUGUUGCAUUCUAUAAUAACGUAUGUAUAAAUAAUUUCAAAUUUUUAUAUAAUUAUAAGAAGAAAUUACUAAACUUACGUAUAUGUUCGAGGUAUAAAAGAUAAUAAUGUUCCAUCAUUAUGAUCAUUUGAAAAUCUAAGUUGUGCUAAAUUAUGUAGAAAGAAAUUAAAUUGUGUAAACCAA